This 522-nucleotide ribosomal RNA is filed under the name Chrysochroa fulgidissima. Its description in RNAcentral is "partial 16S ribosomal RNA". It matches the Rfam family "Bacterial large subunit ribosomal RNA", at positions 1812 to 2603 of the family's 2925-position model. Lineage: Eukaryota; Metazoa; Arthropoda; Insecta; Coleoptera; Buprestidae. The record is from RNAcentral.
AAAACAUGUCCUUUUGAUUAUGAUUUAAGGUCUGGCCUGCUCAAUGAGGUUUUAAAUAGCCGCGAUAACUUGAUCGUGCGAAGGUAGCAUAAUCAUUAGUUUUUUAAUUGAAAACUGGAAUGAAGGGUUGGACGAGAUUGGGGCUGUCUCAAGUUUAUUAAAUUGGAAUUUUAUUUCUAGGUUAAAAAGCCUAGAUUUCUCUCAAAGACGAGAAGACCCUAUAGAGUUUUAUAUUUUUAUUUAAUAAGUGUUUUUGGUAUUAAGGUUGCUUUUUAGUUUAAAAGUAUUUAGUUGGGGUGAUUGAAUAAAUGAUUAAACUUCUUUUUUUUUAUUACACUAAUUUGUGAUUUGAUGAUCCACUAUUUGUGAUUAAAAGAUUAAAUUACCUUAGGGAUAACAGCGUAAUUCUUUUUGAGAGUUCUUAUCGAAAAUAGAGUUUGCGACCUCGAUGUUGGAUUAAAGUUAAUUUUUGGCGUAGAAGUUAGAAUAUUUGGUCUGUUCGACCAUUAAAACUUUACAUGA